UACGGAAGGCAGCAGUGGGGAAUAUUGCACAAUGGGCGAAAGCCUGAUGCAGCUAUGCCGCGUGUAUGAAGAAGGCCUUAGGGUUGUAAAGUACUUUCAUCGGGGAGGAAAAACAAAACUAAUAAUUUUAUUUCUUGACGUUACCCGAAAAAGAAGCACCGGCUAACUCCGUGCCAGCAGCCGCGGUAAUACGGAGGGUGCUAGCGUUAAUCAGAAUUACUGGGCGUAAAGAGCACGUAGGUGGUUUUUUUAAGUCAGAUGUGAAAUCCCUGGGCUUAACCCAGGAACUGCAUUUUGAAACUGAAAUACUAGAGUAUCGUAGAGGGAGGUAGAAUUCUAGGUGUAGCGGUGAAAUGCGUAGAUAUCUGGAGGAAUACCUGUGGCGAAAGCGGCCUCCUAAACGAAUACUGACACUGAGGUGCGAAAGCGUGGGGAGCAAACAGGGAUUAGAUACC
Molecule: ribosomal RNA, 455 nt
Filed under: uncultured bacterium
Lineage: Bacteria
Description: bacterial SSU rRNA
Rfam family: Bacterial small subunit ribosomal RNA
Source: RNAcentral